This 5708-nucleotide long non-coding RNA is filed under the name Sus scrofa (pig). Its description in RNAcentral is "lncRNA (ENSSSCG00000041447.1, ENSSSCG00065047993.1)". The record is from RNAcentral. Lineage: Eukaryota; Metazoa; Chordata; Mammalia; Artiodactyla; Suidae.
CAGAGAUAUCAGAUAUGGUACCAGAUUAUUAAGACCCAAGACAGACUGGGGCAGAUGCAAAUUUCUUGGAAGCAAGAGAGAGAUUGAUUGUACAAAUAGUUAAUGUAUUUGAUUUUAUAAAGUAAAAAUCUAAGAUUGUACAACUGGGUGAAAGUUAGGCUGUGAAAUCCAGUAAAGGGGUAUGACUAAGUCCACUGAUGACCAUCUCAGGAUCAGAGGAAAUAGUUUGAGUAUAAACUAAGUCUGCUGGAACAAGGUGCUUGAGAUCAUAAAAUGGUAAUUAACAUUUACGCACAAGGAUGAAUUUGGGGUGUCGCAUAAAAGAGUACUUAAGACAGAUAUUUAAUUAAUUCUUUUUGGCCUUUCCUCUGUUUAAAGAGAAGCAUUUAAGCUUUAUAUUUAUUUUCAGAAACUAUUUUAGGUCCUACAAGUUUCCAUUUAUUAUAUUUCUAUAUUCAUUGAUGUCUAAAUCUUUGUAUGUUUUCAUUAUGGUUAAUUUCUUGACAGCAUUAUUUGGAAAAUGUCCUAAAACAUCCAAAAACAUGCCCUCUCUUUCUAAGGCUUGUGGUUGUUAUCGUUGUUGCUAUUUACUGUCAGCUAUGGUGAUUUUCCCUUCACUUCUUCUCUUGUCAAAGAUCGUGGUACGUAUGGUACAGGACUCCCCAUAUGUCCUGGUAGGUUGUCGAUUUUCAUAAAUGUUCUGCAUGUGCUGAAGAGGGGUGCUAAUUUUAUAAGCAUAUUUUCUGCUAUAUAUGUCUGUCAUACCAAUUUCCUUAGUUAUCUUUUCAAGUAUAUAAUUACUAAUUUUUUGUUUGCUUCAAACAUUGAUUACUGAAAGAAGUGCUAAAUUCUGCUACAUUUCCUUAGUUUUGCCUUAUAUGAGCCUAUGCUAUUACUUCAGAUGAGUUUAGAAUUGUUUUAGCUUCUGGUUUCACAUUAAGUUUUGAGAUUAAUCAUCUCACUGGUGCCACAUUACAACUAUAUGAGCUGUCUUUUGUUUUGUGUUUACUGGUAUAACAUUUUUCACUCUUUUACUUUAAAACUUGCAAUAUUUUUAAGAGUAGCUGUUGUAAGUAGCAGAGUGCAGGAUUUCCUAAUUUUAAUUCCAACAACCUGAUUAUAUUUGUUAUUAAUACUUGAGUCAAUUUACUUUUAUUGAGAUAUCUGAUAUAUGUUUAAUUAUUCUUACAAUAUUCUGCAUACAUAAUUUUUUCUCAUUUUGUUUUACCUCCUGCCUUCCUGGGAUUAUUUUUAUUAUUUCCAGUGCUGUUGUCGCUAUUGUUGUUAUUAUGAUUACUCUUUCUUAAAACAAUUUUGUUUUGCAAGUUCUACUAUUAUAAUUUAAGCAAAAUUAAUUUAAAGUUAAGUUUAUUCUCUUCCUGAAUAAUACAAGCUUUAAGGAACACUUGAAUUCUAAUCACACUUCCAUUCCAUGUAAAUGGUAAUCUUGUGCAGGAUUUUAAUCUGUUUUUUCCUUAUAAAAUUAAGCAUUGUUGUUAUUUAAUAUAGUAAAUGUUUUUUCAGAUUACUCAAAUAUAUACCAGUAUCUUGCCUUGCCAUUCUGUCUCAUUUUGCAGAUCUUCCUUUUGGGAUAGUUUUCUUUUCUUCCAAAUUAUAUCUUCUAGAAUUCCUCUUAUUAAGGUUCCGUUGUUAGUUAAGAUUCUUGUUUGUUGUGCAUCCUAUAUGUAAAUAUUCAUUUAAAAAAUUUCCAAGAAACCCUCUCUUUAAGACAUUCUACCUCUCUCCUAUUGUCUUUAUUCUUUCUUCCUAGAUAUCUUAUUAGAUACAUGUUAAUAUGCCCUUUCAUUCUGUCCUCCAUAGCUUUUAAAGUUUGCUGUGUUUCUUAUACAUUCUGUAUAAUUUCUAUUAAUUUAUCUUCCACUUUAUAAAUUCUCUGUUUUUAUUAAUCAAAUGUUCUGUUUAACUUUUCUAAUUAUAUAAUUCUGUAUUAAAUUGUUUAAGAUUAAUUUUAAUUACUUUUGAUGUUUAUAUUUUUACUCAUGGAAUUAUGUUUGGGUUCAUCAACACUAGAAUUAAUAGGUUGAUUGUGGUAGAUACAUGCAAUGAAUUAGUUAACAACAAUACAAGUGAGUGUAUUAUACUUAUAACUGUGAACAUAUAUUUUAGAAACAGUAAUUUUGAGCAACAUAAUGUGUUCAAAGAAUGUAUGUAGAGUUCAGAAGUAAGCAAAAUUAAAUAUUGUCUUAUUUAAGAAAAUUCAGUAAAUUUAAGGGAAUUAUUCUAUAAGUCAAGGUAGUGAUUACUAUGGUGUAGAGGCAAGGAUCUUGAUUGGCAAGGAUCAUACAAGGAUCCUCAGAGGUUCUAGAAAUGUUUUCUUUCUUAAAAAAUUGGUUGGUGGGUAGUUAGAUAUGAACAUACAUAUUUUAUAUACUCUUACACACAGAUUCAGUUUCAUUCUUUUUACAAUCUUUCUGCUUUUGCUUGAUAAUUUUUUGCUUAAUCUUCCUCAUGUUGACAUGAAUCUCUCUGUGUGAGUUCAUGUCCAGCUGGAUUUUACUCUUUGGGUCUUGUGAAAUUUGAGUGGUUAUGAAUCCUUCCAGAGAGUGUCUUAGGACCUGCUAACAAAGGAUAAACUUAAUUUUGUAAAAUAAUUUUUUAAAUUCAACUUGCAAGAAAUAUAAACUCAAAUUCCAUCAGUGUAAAGGUAGGCCCAUGUUAUUCAUUUUUGAAGAAGUUUUUUUUUUUUUUUUCUAUUUUAUUUCAUUUUUCUGCCAUAGUCCUCUCUAAAUCAGAAAAGUUUCUGGUCAUAUCUCCUUUCUAGAAGGUGAGAUUUUCCUAGUCCAUCUUUGCACUGACCCAACUUAAUUCAAAUGAUUAGUUUCAUCUCUCUGUGUUUGGACUCUGAAGUGUUGUCUCUAUUUUUUGGCUUUGCUUUUAACAAGAAAGAUCCUAGAUUAUUUGGAAAAAUAAGUAGCCUAGCACUAUGGCAGCCUUAAUGCAGCCUCCCAUUUUGGCACCUUAAAGCCUUUCACUUAAUCAAUGAAAAUUUUGAGACUACAUACUUUCUUCCAUUUAAAAAGCAUGUUUAUUUUUAUUUUAACCAGAAUUUUCAGAUAUUUUGUAGCAAGAAAUUUUUUAGUAUCUAGUGUCAAAUAAAAUAAUAAGCAGAAGAAAAAAUGAUGUUAAAGAUGACAUUUUAGUUCCCUUUGAAAGACAAGUCAUGUGUUAGGACACAAGUGCAGGAUAUACUCUGAAGUCUGAAUAUGUGUUAAACCCAUGGCAAAAGUUGCAAUUCUAAAGUCACUGAAGUCCAGAUAUAUUUUAAAGAGUCACCACCCCAUCAGACCAUAUUGCUGAAUAGAGCUUUCCACUUAAUGUAUAAAUGUCUUACCAUAAAAUUCAUUUUUUAUGUUUGAUAAUAACAGUUCUUUCUUUAUCUACAAGAGGCUAUUAGAAGACUUUCAUAGGUUACCUUUUAGGAGUUCAAUUUUUUUUUUUCCAGGGAAAAAUAUGUUACAUAGGUCCAUGAUCUUUGAGUCCACUAUGUGAUAUAUUAUAUAUCAUAUAUUUUUGUAUAUAUUUGUGAAUUGAUGACUUUGAGCCAGUACAUUUUAUGGAAAAUAAAAUUAGUCAAAUCCACAAGUCCUUGCUUUAACACUUAUUAAUAAAAGUAACCAAUUACUGUCAAAGAAGCAGUGUGUUGCCCCUCCUUGGUUGAAGACAUAAUUACCUGGAGAAGAUAGGAUCCAUGCUGGGAGAAAGCUAAAGAUGUAUGCAUCUCUUACACUUUGAUGACUUAAUUAGUUUGUUAGUUUGGCCACAAAAAAUAGUUGCCCAGGGGUGAGAGGUAAGUGGAGGAUUUCUAUUGGGCCAGGGAUUGACAGGAACAGAGAACACACAAUAAUGUUGAUCACAGGUGGUGGCAAUCCAAGCAUCUGGCAAGUCACAGUGGUACAGCUGUGUCUUCAAUGCCUGGUUACACAUCUGAUUUGCCCAGCACACUUGUUAAAUACACAGACACUACUUUGGGACUUCAGAAGAGCAGCUCUUGGACAAGGCAGAAGAAUGUUUCUUUGUUAACUCUCACGGUGAUUUGGCCAUUUAAGGUAGAUAGGAAAUCACCUCUGUGCCUGUGGGACCUUAUCAAGUGCCAAAGGUCCCAGACCUUGCUUCUCCCCACAGUAAGUUCACAGCACUGUGUUUUGGAACCUUGAGAAGACUAACAGGACCUGGGAAUCAUGAACUCUUCACUCACUAAGAGCCCUGGGGGCUACAAUAAAUGCCCUCUCCUAGGUUUUGCCAUAGUCUGCAAGGUCUUACAUCAUGCAUUGCAAUCAGUCUUGUUUAUGGCUAUGUGUGUACCUCUUUUUUUCCCCUCUCCAUUGGCUGACUUGUAGACAGCAGAAUCCAGGUCUUAUUAAAAAGUUAAUUCCCCACAACAACUCAAAAACUGUUUUGUGAACUGAAUUGAAUUUUAAUUAAGUGUUGCCAUUUCCCCAUUAUCCUCACCUCAUAUCCUGAUUGAGAAUAUGUCUUGUCAAGUGCAAAAUAUGUAGUUGCAACCUUCUUUUUUGGAAAUUAUAUUACUCAUUAUUUUCUGCUGCUUCUGCAAGCUUUGUGGAGUGGCACUGUAUUUUCUUAGUCUAUGUUGACAGAAUACAAUAUAAUGGUUCAUUUAGGAUGGGUUUUUAUGGGGCCUGUCAAGACUUAGCUGUGUUUUGCAUAGUAAACCUAAUAUUAAAUGACAAAAUGCAUUGUAGAAGAUACUUCACAACCAUUAAGGUUGAAGUAGUGAAUGUGUAGAAGAUUACUAUGCAUUACAAAUGGUGGAGCAGCUAAGACAAUAAAUAAAGUAUAAUUGAAAUCCAGGGGGCUUUGGAUAUUAGUGGUAUAACAAUUCUCUGAUCUACAGUGUGUGCUGUAGGAAGAUUGGCUGCAACUCUGGUGUGUUGGUCUCUUUGCACAGCAGGUGAUGUGCUGAACUUAAUAACCCGCUGUUCAAUUUUUUAUUUAAAAAGUAAGAUGGGAGCUAAGGCACAAUUGCUUUGGGCAAGUGUCUUAUAAAAAUGUUUGUGUUUAGAAGUGGGCUAAUUUGAUUAGAGAACCAUGAAAUCUGCUCAACAGUGUAAUGGAACAUCAGCUAAAUCUAAACUGGCAAAACCCCAGGACUUUGAAAAUUAAUGAAUAUUCAAUAUUGACAUGCUCUGAAAAUAGAUGUCUUAAAUAUGAGGAAAAAAAGGAAGGCAGGACGAACAUAGAGAGAUUCUAUAGCACUUAAGAAAUUUUAAUUGUUGUCAAAUAAUACUAUGGCAAAAAGAUCACUAAAUAAGUCAUCAUAAAAGUUUAUAGCCCUGUGAGUGAGAUUAGGGAUCAUGUUUUAUUCAUUGAUUUUUGUUUCUUGACCCUCAAAAUCCAUACCUCAUGCUUCUCACUGAGCACCAUUUCAAACAUUUGUUAAAUUUUUGCCAGUGAAUGACCGGCUCUGUGAACAUGUACUUCAUGUUUAUUGAAUGUGAAGCAGGGAAGUAAGUUUAUGACAAAAAAAAAAUACAGCUGCUUUUUAAAAAGUGAAAUUAAUAGGGAAGACAUUAUCUAUGUCUAUAAAACCAGUUGCUAAAAACAUGAGAAUAAGUAGAUAGCUAGAGUAUACUUGCCUUGCUAGAGUUCAUCAAAUACUGAUCUAGGACAUCAAAAUAUUUUAAAUACAUAGAAAUUUUUUCUGUUCAUCUUAUUACAGGGAAAAAAAA